UGGAGGGUGAGUCUCUCUCUCUCUCUCUCUCGGGAACGGAUGUAGAUGAUGCGUUGGUAGACUUCUGAAAUGAUGCAAACAGAUCUCAAAUUUGUGAUGGUUGGGUUCUUCUUACACGCUGUCGACGGAAAUUCUGGCGCUUUUAGAUCGUAGGAUUUCGCCGCUCGAAUUCGAUGCGAGGCGGAUGAACAGAGCAGCUGCUUGCGUGAUGAUGAUUGGGUGGUCCUAGUUAACUAUUUAUUAGCCAUCUAAUUAAGGGAAUGGUGAUGGUGAAGCAGGUGCAAGAUGUAUCCGGACAUGAGCUACGCCGAGAACAGCAGCAGCGAGACCCUCGUCAUGGGCGUCGCUGCGCCUGAGACAACUGAAAAGAUGGAGGGAGGAGAGGUGGGCUUCGCGGGAGCGGAGAACGGGUGCAAGUGCGGGUCCAACUGCACCUGCGACCCCUGCACCUGCGACA
Molecule: long non-coding RNA, 457 nt
Organism: Rhodamnia argentea
Lineage: Eukaryota; Viridiplantae; Streptophyta; Magnoliopsida; Myrtales; Myrtaceae
Exons: 2
Source: RefSeq, a predicted model, not a curated record